This is a long non-coding RNA of Myotis brandtii (Brandt's bat), 2566 nucleotides long. RefSeq lists it as uncharacterized. The transcript is spliced from 4 exons. The record is from RefSeq and is a predicted model, not a curated record. NCBI's taxonomy places the organism in Eukaryota, Metazoa, Chordata, Mammalia, Chiroptera, Vespertilionidae.
GUGUGGGCCAACACUCUAACCACUGAACAACACUGGUCAGGGUAGAUUAUUUUCUUUAAAGCUUCAUGAUGCCUAGCAACUCAGGACUUUUUCUCUCCCCUCCCUGCCCUAACCCAGACCAGCCCCUUAUUGUGCCUGCUUUCAGGUUGCUGGAAGGUGCUUUACAAAUGAGGUGACAUAGGCUCAGAGCAGCCAGGAGAACAGGGCAGCAGACGCAGGACAGACAUCGAGGAAACUCGAGAAAUAACACAUUUGUCUGGUGAGUCAAGAAAAACUGGAAAUAAGCAAACAUUUAAAGAGAAUGACAACACAAGCUACACUCCAGGACAAUGAGCAAAACCACAGUCCAUUUCCUAUGCAAGAAUCUCGGUCCAACAAUGUAUUUCGCGGUUCUUCCUACCCCAGAGGAGGGCUCAUCCCAGCCAAUGACCUUGGCUUACAUAUCCAGGCCCCUGAUGUCCCAAAAGAAUCAAAGAAAGUGUGUCCAAGAUAGAACUUAUCCGUCUCCAGGUCUACAUCCCCUUCCUGGUGUAAGGACACUGCCAUCCGUCCGUUCUCACCAGAAACCGGAGAGUCACCUAGACUCCUCCUCCCACGUGGCCCAUGUCUGCGCUUCAGCCUAUGUUAUCUCUUACCCACGUUCAUCAGGAACCCUUCCUCUGGAUCUUCCCUUCUGUGGCCUGAGUUCACCCCUCUGUCAUCUCGCAGGCGACCGGUGUUGAUUUCCUUUACGAGGCUUCUCGCUUAGUCUUUCCCCAUGAAUUCCAACCACGAGCUGCCUCUGGACUGACCGCUCUACGAAAAGGCAAGUCUGACCAACUCUCUCCUCUACGCCGGUGCCUGGGCAGGCCGUGGGACGUCUGUGACACUCCUCCCUGGGCUCAUGUCUAAUGCACAUCCCCUCCUCACUCAAGGGGGUUAAGGGGAAGAAGGGCCGUCCCACCUUGGACUUACAUUGCUCCGCAUUUCCCCAGUCCGGCGGGAAAGCAGACUGUGUGGCUUUAUCAGCUCUGAGCGUGGGGAGAACACUUAGCUUCCGGUCCUCACCUUCGGCCAACUUUAUGGCCAGUGCAAUUCCUGGGCCUCGGGGACAGGACUGACGACUGCUUUCGCUUGCCGUCUCCCGUGGGCCCUGCUCCGCGUCUUCAGUGGGACAAAGCUCUACGGCUUGUCCCUUGCCUUUCUGGGAACCCGUCUCAUUCUGCCACUUUGCAUGGGAUGACCUAUCAACUCAUUGGAUGUCACCGAUGCAUCAGGGGCUGGCAAUUUUUUUCUGAAGAAAAGGCCAGGUAGUAAAUAUUUUUGGAUUUGCAGGCCAUCCAGUCUCUGUUGCAAACACUCACCCGUGCUGUCGUAGCAGGAAAGCGGCCACAGAGGGUGCAAAAAUGGGCGCGUGUGGCUGUGUAUUAAUAACACUCUAAUCCCACGCACAGACGGUGAGCCAUUUUGACCUACAGGCCCGAGCGUGCCGGCCCCUGAAUUGGGGAUACGUGUGUGCUGGAGAGGCUGAGAUGCUCAGGCCAGAAGUGGUUGGAAACCCUGCCCAGAACAUGGAUUUUGGAGCUCAAUCGCCUCGAUUCCAAUCCUGACAUUCGUGUUGCUAGCUAUGGAGCCUUUGGGUAACUUCGCACAGAUGAUCUUGCUUGAUCCUCACCACAAUCCUCAGAGGUAAACACCAUCUUCCUGGGAUGGAGGUGUGGGUGGAGAGGGGUCAAAGGCUCGGGAACUUGUAAGUCCUUUCAUCAGCGCACACCCGCCCACCUUUUAAGAGAAAUGCCCCUGGGCGCCCUCCGCUACAGCCCCGACUCCCAGCUCCUCUUCACACCGAACGCCCUGAUAAAGCUGUCUGCAUCCUCCAUCCACACUGUCAUCUCACACUCACUCAGCGGCUCUGCAAGCUGCCCGAGGCCCCAGCGUAUCAAAGUCACGAUCAGCUUCUGGGACAGAGACGCGCGGCCUGUUACAUAUUUAGCGACGACGGCUUUCACACCGCCAGCCCAAGUGCGAGGAAAGGAUCACCACGGUGCAGUCUCCUCCCGGGAGAGGUGCUGUUGGAGAUCACCCGGAUCAACUCCUGUGGCCACCCCAGCGCUGGCGGACACCAGCAUUAUAACCUCCGCCUCUCCCAGAUUCAACCACAAAAAGUGUUGGCUCCAUCGACCAAGACAGCAAAUGACUCAGCACUGGAAAUGGUCAUUUUCACCCACAUUGUGUCCCUAUUAUCUCAGCAAUGCCAAGCGCAUGGCCCUGGGACCUGCAGAUCUUUAGAAGCACACCCCACCGUUAGGCUGUGACCUGGAGUGAUGAGGUGGGAGGUGCACCAUGACACCCAAGCUCCAGGGUCCUGCUUCCGCAGGCCUUCCCUCCGGCUGGGACCCUCCUGGGGGCGGGAGUAUCUCCACUCCCACUGAGUACCCAGAGCCCAGGACAGUGCUGGGCUCACGGAUCUUGGGAAACUGUCGAAGGAAUGAUUUCCUGGGAGGGGACAGACACAGGGCAUUUAUCAAGUUUUAAAGAAAAUCUUGGCCCUGGCUGGUGUUGCUCAGUGGUGAGCAUCAGCCUGUGC